GAUUAACGCUGGCGGUAUGCCUAAUACAUGCAAGUCGAACGAACUAUUUAUAGUUAGUGGCGAACGGGUGAGUAACACGUAUCCAAUCUACACUUAAGUUGGGGAUAACCAGUCGAAAGAUUGGCUAAUACCGAAUGUGAUUAUUUUUUGGCAUCAAGAAAUAAUUAAAGUCGCGUUUGCGACGCUUUUGGAUGAGGGUGCGGGAUAUCAGGUAGUUGGUGAGGUAAUGGCUCACCAAGCCUAUGACGUCUAGCUGUACUGAGAGGUAGAACAGCCACAAUGGGACUGAGACACGGCCCAUACUCCUACGGGAGGCAGCAGUAGGGAAACUUUCACAAUGGACGAAAGUCUGAUGGAGCAAUACCGCGUGGAUGAUGAAGGUUAUAUAAAUUGUAAAAUCCUUUUAUAAGAGAAGAAAAAAUAGAACAGGAAAUGGUUCUAUUCUGACGGUAUCUUUUGAAUAAGUAACGGCUAACUAUGUGCCAGCAGCCGCGGUAAUACAUAGGUUGCAAGCGUUAUCCGGAUUUACUGGGUGUAAAACGAGCGCGGGUGGACUUAAAAGUUCGAUGUUAAAGGCAGUUGCUCAACAACUGAUUGCAUUGAAAACUAUAAGUCUAGAAUGUAGUAGAGAGUUAUGGAACUCCAUGUGGAGCGGUGGAAUGCGUAGAUAUAUGGAAGAACACUAGAGGCGAAGGCGAUAACUUAGACUAUCAUUGACACUUAGGCUCGAAAGUGUGGGGAGCAAAUAGGAUUAGAUACCCUAGUAGUCCACACCGUAAACGAUGAUUAUUAAAUAUCGGCACGAUGUGUCGGUGUUGCAGCUAACGCAUUAAAUAAUCUACCUGGGUAGUACAUUCGCAAGAAUGAAACUCAAACGGAAUUGACGGGGACCUGCACAAGUGGUGGAGCAUGUUGCUUAAUUUGACAAUACACGUAAAACCUUACCUAGGUUUGACAUCCCCUGCAAAGUUAUAGAGAUAUAAUGGAGGUUAUCAGGGUGACAGGUGGUGCAUGGUUGUCGUCAGCUCGUGUCGUGAGAUGUUGGGUUAAGUCCCGCAACGAGCGCAACCCUUGUCGUUAGUUAAAUUAUCUAACGAGACUGCUUUCGCAAGAAAGAGGAAGGUGGGGAUGACGUCAAAUCAUCAUGCCCCUUAUAUCUAGGGCCGCAAACGUGCUACAAUGGUCGGUACAAAGUGUCGCUACUUCGUAAGGAGACGCAAAUCACAUAAAGCCGAUCUCAGUUCGGAUUGAGGGCUGCAACUCGCCCUCAUGAAGUUGGAAUCACUAGUAAUCGCGAAUCAGACAUGUCGCGGUGAAUACGUUCCCAGGUCUUGUACACACCGCCCGUCAAACUACGGGAGUUGGUAAUAUCUGAAAUCGUAUCGCUAACUUCGGAGGCAUACGUCUAGGGUAGGAUCGAUGACUGGAGU
RNAcentral lists this ribosomal RNA (1430 nucleotides) under uncultured Mycoplasma sp. RNAcentral describes it as "16S ribosomal RNA". It matches the Rfam family "Bacterial small subunit ribosomal RNA". The record is from RNAcentral. Lineage: Bacteria; Bacillati; Mycoplasmatota; Mollicutes; Mycoplasmatales; Mycoplasmataceae.